RNAcentral lists this ribosomal RNA (792 nucleotides) under Triticum aestivum (bread wheat). RNAcentral's name for it is "partial small subunit ribosomal RNA". The record is from RNAcentral. Lineage: Eukaryota; Viridiplantae; Streptophyta; Magnoliopsida; Poales; Poaceae.
AUGGAAGAGAUGUCCUGGUCGGCGGCGAGCCUCCCGGAGGAGCUCCUCGUGGAGAUCCUGGCGCGGGUGCCCUACAGGUCGCUGUGCCGCUUCAGGUGCGUGUCGCCGUCGUGGCGCGCCCUCUGCUCCGACCCCGGCCUCGUCAGGCGGUCGCUGCAGACCCUCUCCGGCUUCUUCUGCCACGCCCUCCACAACCACCACGACGUGCGUUUCCUCAACUUCCCGGGCGGCAGUUCAGGCCGUCGGCCCCUGGUCGACCCGUCCUUCCCUUUCCUUCGCGGCGGCGGCUAUACCCAUGGCUUCAUACUCGUGGAUUGCAGCGGUGGCCUCCUCUGCGGGUGCUUCACGUCGCCCACCCCGUCAUCUUCGUUGGACAUAGAUUAUCUCGUGUGCAAUCCGGCAACCGAGGAGUGGACUGUGCUUCCUCGCACACAACAUAUGAACCUGCAGAGCAUCACACGUCUGGGCUUCGACCCGGCCGAUCCCUCCGGCUUCACGGUGUUUUUGUUCGAGCAGGAUCUCUAUGAUGGCGGCACGCUCACCGGACUGAAGAUCUACUCGUCCGAGACCAGAACAUGGGCUUCCAAGCAGAUUGGGUGGAGUCAAGGAAUUCAUUUGGAUAAUUCCGAGGAAUCAGUGUCUGUCUUUAUGAAUGGUGUGCUGCAUUUGCAUUUGCCGGCCAACAAUACUUUGAUCGUCACGUGGACAUGGACGGCAAGACUUGGCAGGCAUUUUGGAGGCCAUCCUUUGGUCAUGGCAUCGGGAGGUCUCAAGGACGCCUGCACACUAUAG